Hirundo rustica (Barn swallow) is the source of this 2201-nucleotide long non-coding RNA. RefSeq lists it as uncharacterized. NCBI's taxonomy places the organism in Eukaryota, Metazoa, Chordata, Aves, Passeriformes, Hirundinidae. The transcript has 4 exons. The record is from RefSeq and is a predicted model, not a curated record.
CUGAAUAAGAACAUCUUUAAUUUUGUGACUAAGAGCUGUAUCUGUUGUUUUCCAUUCUCCCUGGGGGGACAGUAGGAGUCUGAUGAAGCUUCAAGGCCACAGCUGAGAUCAUCAGUGUACUUGGCGCUGUACUCGGGACAGCAAAUGUCAGUAACAUUUUUAACCAACACGAGGAAACGUUAUCGUAAAAUCAAUUAGCUAGAGCCCUGUAUCUAAGCCCACGGCUGAGGCCGAAGGAAGGUGACGCAGCGCUCCGCGGGAGGCGCGCACGGCCCUGGCGCACUGAAGGGUAUUUGCUGCCAUCUAGUGGCACGGCGGAAGGCGGCAGCAGCCCGGGCAGGCCGGGCCCCGUUCGUGCUCGCCCGUGCGCUGCGCCCGCGACCCUGCGGCCGCCACUGACCCGCCUGAGGAGCUCUACCUGCGGCACCGCUGCUCAGGAAACGCCACAGUUUAAUUUCCUAAAGGUUCUGGUUGAAUAUACGUGGGGUUUUUCAUUAUUUUCGCCUUCUCGACCGUUUUGCUCCAGGCCUGCUACAAGUAGUAAUACGUCUAAUUUAGAUUGUGGUUUAGAUUCCUAGAAAACCUGCCAAAUUUCUAGGUUUAAGAAUUACAAAAAGUAUCAGAAGGUGAAAGUACCGAGCAAUUUGAAGGCACAGAAUGACUUCUUUAAGCUUAACCACGCUUGCUGAAAGAUUAAAUCUAUUACAUUUAAAUGAAAUAGAGUAAUUAAGUAUUAAUAAUAUAUAAUUGCCUUUUUCAGGAUAAAAUAUAUAAUAGUCAAAGAAGGUGACAUUUCCAGUGUUAUCUAUGUGAUAGAAUGCUAUGAGCCCAUUGACAAUUUCUGUUCAUAAAUCAUCAUUCCUUGGGAAAAAAAGUUAACAUCCAAUUUUACAAUUUCUACUGCAAAUUAAGUGGUAGGUUCUCCUGCAGCCAAGCGUGAAGACACCACAUACAAACCACUGACCGCUGCCAAUGACAAACCUCACGUGUGUACGUGUGUGAAUGGCAGGGAGAGAGUGCUAAAGAGUUAUUGCGCUUCACUAUGCAUUGUUUUAGGGCCUCUGUAUGGAACUGUCUUUCUAGCGUGCCACAGCCAGUUUCAAAGGAACCCUAAUUCAUUUUUACCUAUGAAAUCAGCCUACAGACCUCCAGACACUUCAUUAGUAAAGGGAAUAGUGCUGAAUCAUCAGCAACUUCCAAGAGGGACUGCCUCUCUUCUUGCUGAAAUAUGCCAAAUUCCAAUUCUUUCUGGUCUGACCAGCUAGAAGUCAAAUAAAAAGAAAAUAAAACAAAAAAAAUCUAAGAACCAAACCUAAAAAAACCCCAACUUCAUGUGUUUUUUUUUCCACCAGAUUUUUCAGUUGUCAUUUCUAAAAUACACAGUAUAUGAGUAUUUUCUAGAGCAAGAAGUGAAUUAGAAAGUCUUUUUUUUAGGCUGAUGGGCUUGGGUCUAACUUUCUGCUUUGCAGUUCUCUGUGUGAAAAUUGUAGCAUAGGAAAUGGCAGCAAAUAAAUACCAAAAGAACAUUUUGCUGAAUUAACAUUUUACAGACAGUGUGGUAUGAACUUUCUUUGCAGUAGGAAAGGAUGAAGCAUCAAAUAUUGAAGUCUCCACCUGGACAACUAAAAAUUAUUAGAUGCUUUCCCUUGGAUGGGCCAUAUCUUAUGUGAAAGUCCAGAAAAACAAGAAAACUUAAUGCCUUGAAAAAGACAAACUCAAGGAAUGUAAACGUCUAGAGUACAAGUUAAAUUGUCAAAGGUGCAGGGUUGUUAUUGUUUACGGAAUGCUUCUGGACCUUAAUAUCAUUGUUUGCACAAAUGUGCAAAGCACAGAUCCGAGUUUGAGCUUUGCUGUUUGGCUGAGUGUUCCAGCUCCUGGUGGCUCUCCCUGUGAGCGUCUCUUCCAAGGGAUGGUUGGUCACAGUGUGGGUAAACCCCUCGAGGCUUCCCACUGCUGCCUUCUCCUUCCCCCAGAUACGGUUAUGAUGUCUCCAAAGUGCAGGAGAACCUCCCAGUGGCAAACACAGAGCUAUACUUUAUGCUGCCUACAAAGGAUAUAUGCAAAAGUGGAGGGAAAUCCGCUGAAUAGGGAAAUCUGAGUCCAUCACCUGUGACAAGAGUAACUAUCUGUUAUGUGACAGAGCUUUCUGGUUUGUUCAGCCCUUAAGUGCCUGUGUGUCUUGAACCACCAGAAAUAUCCCU